Spea bombifrons (plains spadefoot toad) is the source of this 581-nucleotide long non-coding RNA. RefSeq lists it as uncharacterized. The transcript has 2 exons. Lineage: Eukaryota; Metazoa; Chordata; Amphibia; Anura; Pelobatidae. The record is from RefSeq and is a predicted model, not a curated record.
ACUAGGAUGUCCUUACUACUUGAUGUGAACAUCCCCUGUAAUUUAAUUUUAAUGAAUGUCAUCAUGGUAAGAUACGGCAGAAUAGUCUACUGUAAAAGUUUAGUAAAACAUACUGUUAAUUUGUUGCUUUCGGAAGUUUCUGAUCUGCCCAAUGCAGAGUCCAAAAAGAAAACCUGAUUAGUGUACUUUAUGGUGUAAUUAAAGGGAAAGUCCUAUUGGGUAAUGGUACUGGAUAAAGGGCUAAUGAAGUCCUGUCUUCCAUAGACCUUCAUGAGUCAACAUCAGCCUGGGUGAUCAGGACUGAGGCGUCUUAUUCUUUUACAGCAAGGCAGGACCAUAAAGAGUCAGUGCGUUUGACUAGUAAAUCGUUACUUUUUUUGUGAUACUAAGACGUUUUGGUAGAAGUCCCCCUUGUACUAAAUGUAAAUUCAACAUCUUUUCAAACAAAAUAAGUUUUUAAAAUGGUCAACUUGUCUUUGUAACAGUUUGUAUUGUUUUGCUGUAUCUGAAUUUGUAUUUUUUCAUGAAUUUUGCAUGAACUUUCACAGUGUUGUAAUAAAUGUUUUAGUUAUUAUGCAGAA